AUUGAACGCUGGCGGCAUGCCUUACACAUGCAAGUCGAACGGCAGCACGGGUGCUUGCACCUGGUGGCGAGUGGCGAACGGGUGAGUAAUACAUCGGAACAUGUCCUGUAGUGGGGGAUAGCCCGGCGAAAGCCGGAUUAAUACCGCAUACGAUCCACGGAUGAAAGCGGGGGACCUUCGGGCCUCGCGCUAUAGGGUUGGCCGAUGGCUGAUUAGCUAGUUGGUGGGGUAAAGGCCUACCAAGGCGACGAUCAGUAGCUGGUCUGAGAGGACGACCAGCCAAACUGGGACUGAGACACGGCCCAGACUCCUACGGGAGGCAGCAGUGGGGAAUUUUGGACAAUGGGCGAAAGCCUGAUCCAGCAAUGCCGCGUGUGUGAAGAAGGCCUUCGGGUUGUAAAGCACUUUUGUCCGGAAAGAAAUCCUUGGCUCUAAUACAGUCGGGGGAUGACGGUACCGGAAGAAUAAGCACCGGCUAACUACGUG
Molecule: ribosomal RNA, 486 nt
Filed under: uncultured bacterium
Lineage: Bacteria
Description: partial 16S ribosomal RNA
Rfam family: Bacterial small subunit ribosomal RNA
Source: RNAcentral